UGAGGAAUAUUGGGCAAUGGGCGAAAGCCUGACCCAGCAACGCCGCGUGAAGGAAGACGGUUUUCGGAUUGUAAACUUCUUUUAAGAGGGACGAUAAUGACGGUACCUCUUGAAUAAGCCACGGCUAACUACGUGCCAGCAGCCGCGGUAAUACGUAGGUGGCAAGCGUUGUCCGGAUUUAUUGGGUGUAAAGGGCGAGUAGGCGGACCUGCAAGUCAGAUGUGAAAUCCCCGGGCUUAACCCGGGAACUGCAUUUGAAACUGCAGGCCUUGAGUGAUGGAGAGGCAGGCGGAAUUCCCGGUGUAGCGGUGGAAUGCGUAGAUAUCGGGAGGAACACCAGUGGCGAAGGCGGCCUGCUGGACAUUAACUGACGCUGAGGAGCGAAAGCGUGGGGAGCAAACAGG
RNAcentral lists this ribosomal RNA (404 nucleotides) under uncultured bacterium. RNAcentral describes it as "bacterial SSU rRNA". It matches the Rfam family "Bacterial small subunit ribosomal RNA", at positions 355 to 776 of the family's 1533-position model. The record is from RNAcentral.